CCUACGGGUGGCAGCAGUGAGGAAUAUUGGUCAAUGGGCGCGAGCCUGAACCAGCCAAGUAGCGUGAAGGAUGACUGCCCUACGGGUUGUAAACUUCUUUUGUACAGGAGUAAAGUGAGGCACGUGUGCCUUUUUGUAUGUACUUUAUGAAUAAGGAUCGGCUAACUCCGUGCCAGCAGCCGCGGUAAUACGGAGGAUCCGAGCGUUAUCCGGAUUUAUUGGGUUUAAAGGGUGCGUAGGUGGGGUGUUAAGUCAGGUGUGAAAGUUUGCGGCUCAACCGUAAAAUUGCAAUUGAUACUGGUAGUCUUGAGAGCAGUUGAGGUAGGCGGAAUGCGUGGUGUAGCGGUGAAAUGCUUAGAGAUCACGAAGAACUCCGAUUGCGAAGGCAGCUUACUAAACUACCACUGACGUUGAGGCACGAAAGCGUGGGUAUCAAACAGGAUUAGAUACCCUGGUAGUC
Molecule: ribosomal RNA, 460 nt
Filed under: uncultured bacterium
Lineage: Bacteria
Description: partial 16S ribosomal RNA
Rfam family: Bacterial small subunit ribosomal RNA
Source: RNAcentral